Molecule: transfer RNA, 61 nt
Filed under: Phytophthora infestans (potato late blight agent)
Lineage: Eukaryota; Oomycota; Peronosporomycetes; Peronosporales; Peronosporaceae
Description: tRNA-Val
Source: RNAcentral
CAGCUCAGCGGUUGAACACUCGCUUCACAAGCGAUAGGUCGGUGGUUCGAGCCCACCAGGG